GUUGGGUUGUGACAGGAAGGAGGGGGGAAGAGGCUGGAACAAAAAAAAAAAGUUAGAGAGAACAGAGGUAAAUCGCGAGUGAGUGGAGUGCAGACAGAGGGGUAGAUCAGGAGUGAUUGGAGUGCAGUGAGGAAGGGGUACAGCAGGAGUGAGUGGAGUGCAGUGAAAGGAAUAGGUAUAGCAGGAUUUAGUGGGGUGCAGUGAGAUGAAGGUAUAGCAGAGGUGAGUGCAGUGAAAGGAAGGGUAGAUAAGGAUUAGUGGACUGCAGGGAGCGGAAGGGGUAUAGCAGGGGUGAGUGGAGUGCAGUGAGAGGAAGGGGUAUAGUAGGGGUGAGUGGAGGGCAGUAAAAGGAAGGGGUAUAGCAGGGGUGAGUGUAGUGUAGUGAGAGGAAGGGGUAUAGCAGGGGUGAGUGGAGUGCAGUGAGAGGAAGGGGUAUAGCAGGGGUGAGUGCAGUGUAGUGAGAGGAAGGUAUAUAGCAGGGGUGAGUGGCGUGUAGUGAGAGGAAGGGAUAUAGCAGGGGUGAGUGUAGUGUAGUGAGAGGAAGGGGUAUACCAGGGGUGAGUGGAGUGUAGUGAGAGGAAGGUAUAUAGCAGGGGUGAGUGGAGUGCAGUGAGAGGAAGGUAUAUAUAGCAGGUGGAGGAGUGCAGUGAGAGGAAGGGGUAUAGCAGGGGUGAGUGGAGUGUAGUGAGAGGAAGGUAUAUAGCAGGGGUGAGUGGAGUGUAGUGAGAGGAAGGUAUAUAGCAGGGGUGAGUGGAGUGCAGUAAGAGGAAGGUAUAUAUAGCAGGGGUGAGUGGAGUGCAGUGAGAGGAAGGGGUAUAGCAGGGGUGAGUGGAGUGCAGUGAGAGGAAGGGGAAUAGUAGGGGUGAGUGGAGUGCAGUGAGAAGAAGGGGUAUAGCAGGGGUGAGUGGAGUGCAGUGAGAGGAAGGUGUAUAGCAGGGGUGAGUGGAGUGCAGUGAGAGGAAGGG
Pelobates cultripes (western spadefoot toad) is the source of this 965-nucleotide non-coding RNA. Lineage: Eukaryota; Metazoa; Chordata; Amphibia; Anura; Pelobatidae. The record is from the annotation of a GenBank genome assembly.